RNAcentral lists this ribosomal RNA (253 nucleotides) under uncultured bacterium. RNAcentral describes it as "partial 16S ribosomal RNA". It matches the Rfam family "Bacterial small subunit ribosomal RNA", at positions 524 to 776 of the family's 1533-position model. The record is from RNAcentral.
UACAGAGGGUGCAAGCGUUGUCCGGAAUCAUUGGGCGUAAAGCGCGUGUAGGCGGCUCGAUAAGUCCGCUCUGAAAGUCCAGGGCUCAACCCUGGGAUGCGGGUGGAUACUGUCGGGCUCGAGUCCGGAAGAGGCGAGUGGAAUUCCCGGUGUAGCGGUGAAAUGCGCAGAUAUCGGGAGGAACACCAAUGGCGAAGGCAGCUCGCUGGGACGUGACUGACGCUGAGACGCGAAAGCGUGGGGAGCAAACAGG